UACGUAGGAGACGAGCGUUGUCCGGAGUUACUGGGCGUAAAGGGUGCGCAGGCGGCUUUGCGCGUCGCGAGUGAAAUCUCCCGGCUCAACUGGGAGGGUGGUCGCGAGACGGCAGGGCUUGAGGCUCGGUGAGGGGCGUGGAAUUCCGGGUGGAGCGGUGAAAUGCGUAGAGAUCCGGAGGAACACCGACGGCGUAGGCAGCGCCCUAGACGAGACCUGACGCUCAGGCACGAAAGCGCGGGGAGCGAACAGG
RNAcentral lists this ribosomal RNA (253 nucleotides) under uncultured bacterium. RNAcentral describes it as "partial 16S ribosomal RNA". It matches the Rfam family "Bacterial small subunit ribosomal RNA", at positions 524 to 776 of the family's 1533-position model. The record is from RNAcentral.